This 389-nucleotide ribosomal RNA is filed under the name uncultured bacterium. Its description in RNAcentral is "bacterial SSU rRNA". It matches the Rfam family "Bacterial small subunit ribosomal RNA", at positions 28 to 418 of the family's 1533-position model. The record is from RNAcentral.
GACGAACGCUGGCGGCGUGCUUAACACAUGCAAGUCGAGCGGUAAGGCCCUUUCGGGGGUACACGAGCGGCGAACGGGUGAGUAACACGUGGGUGACCUGCCCUCAGCUCUGGGAUAAGCCCGGGAAACUGGGUCUAAUACCGGAUAUGACUCCACGGUGCAUGUCGUGGGGUGGAAAGCCUUGUGCGGCUGAGGAUGGGCCCGCGGCCUAUCAGCUUGUUGGUGGGGUGAUGGCCUACCAAGGCGACGACGGGUAGCCGGCCUGAGAGGGCGACCGGCCACACUGGGACUGAGACACGGCCCAGACUCCUACGGGAGGCAGCAGUGGGGAAUCUUGCGCAAUGGGCGAAAGCCUGACGCAGCGACGCCGCGUGAGGGAUGACGGCCUC